Molecule: non-coding RNA, 1956 nt
Organism: Oryctolagus cuniculus (rabbit)
Lineage: Eukaryota; Metazoa; Chordata; Mammalia; Lagomorpha; Leporidae
Source: RefSeq, a predicted model, not a curated record
GUACGCACACUGUUGAAGAACUCUCUGGGUUCCCCCGGGUGUAUGCACACUACUGAAGAACUGUCCAGGUUCCCCCGGGGGUAUGCACACUACUGAAGAACUGUCCGGGUUCCCCCGGGUGUAUGCACACUACUGAAGAACUGUCCGGGUUCCCCCGGGUGUACGCACACUGUUGAAGAACUGUCCGGGUUCCCCCGGGGGUAUGCACACUGAUGAAGAACUGUCCGGGUUCCCCCGGGUGUAUGCACACUACUGAAGAACUGUCCGGGUUCCCCCGGGGGUACGCACACUACUGAAGAACUGUCCGGGUUCCCCCGGGUGUAUGCACACUACUGAAGAACUCUCCGGGUUCCCCAGGGGUACGCACACUAUUAAAGAAAUGUCCGGGUUCCCCCGGGGGUAUGCACACUACUGAAGAACUGUCUGGGUUCCCCUGGGGGUAUGCACACUGCUGAAGAACUGUCCGGGUUCCCUCGGGUGUAUGCACACUACUGAAGAACUGUCCGGGUUCCCCUGGGGGUAUGCACACUGAUGAAGAACUGUCCGGGUUCCCCUGGGGGUAUGCACACUACUGAAGAACUGCUGGGGAUCAGCCAUUGUGAGGUUCAGGGCAGGAGAGCAGCUGAUGCCUGACAGCUCCACCUCGAGCCAGGAAAACGAAAAUGGUGUUGCCGAAGGAGCCGAGCUCACCGUGGAGCAGCCUACCGGUCAGGGUAGACCUUCUCAGCUAACUGACCUUGAGCUUAGUGUGGGACAAGUCUGGGACACAGGCAGGGGUAAGGACUGACAGGAAGACAAUCUGCAGACUUGAACUGGCAGAGAGCUGUUGUGAGACGGCGAGAACAUCCAGGGAAAGAUGAGAGAGAAACACGGGCAGGGAGACUAUGUGCUGCGGAAUGCCUGGCACCUGCUGGAGAGCCCGGCGGGAAAAGGGGGUUCAAGGGCACACGAAGGAGGGGACACUUGCAAGAGGCAGAAAGGACAGGGUCCAGGGUCAGGCAAGCCAGGCUGGACAGUGGCCUCGGGAGGUAGCACACAGGAAGUCAAGGUCACUGGGCUGUUUGCAGUGAGCACGAAAGAAUAUGCAGUGAGGAUGAAGCAUGAGAGAUUUUGAGGAUUAGGAACAGAAAGGCAGUCAGUGAGGUGGUGAGGCUCAGAUCUGAACCCAGUCAGUGAGGCAGUGAGGCCCGGAUCUGAGCCCGGUCAGUGAGGCAGUGAGGCCCGGAUCUGAGCCCGGUCAGUGAGGCGGUGAGGCCCGGAUCUGAGCCCGGUCAGUGAGGCGGUGAGGCCCGGAUCUGAGCCCGGUCAGUGAGGCGGUGAGGCCCGGGUCUGAACCCCGUCAGUGAGGCGGUGAGGCCCGGAUCUGAGCCCAGUCAGUGAGGCGGUGAGCCUGGAUCUGAACCCGGUCAGUGAGGCGGUGAGCCUGGAUCUGAACCCGGUCAGUGAGGCGGUGAGCCUGGAUCUGAACCCGGUCAGUGAGGCGGUGAGGCCCAGAUCUGAACCCGGUCAGUGAGGCGGUGAGCCUGGAUCUGAACCCGGUCAGUGAGGCGGUGAGCCUGGAUCUGAACCCGGUCAGUGAGGCGGUGAGGCCCGGAUCUGAGCCCGGUCAGUGAGGCGGUGAGGCCGGAUCUGAACCCAGCGGGAUGCAGACCACAGCAGCUGGAGGAAAGAGCCUGAGCAGGAGCAGAAAUGCUUUGCAGGGAGACAGGAAGUGAGAAAACACACGCAAGUGCUGAGGUUCAAGAUCCUGGGCAUUUUACAGGCCUGCUCCUUUUCACUAUGUGUAUCUGCUAAAAUGGAGGCGAGAACACCAACAGUAUUGAAUACCACGGAUGUGACUCCCUUGCAGUGAGAGAAAAAAGAGGCAUCUCAAGUCUCUCCCCCACUGCCCCAGGGCACGCUCAGGGGAAGGGGCAGGAGCCAGCCUAGGUCUGUCCGCUCCUCCGAGGCUGGACU